AGCUCCAAUAGCGUAUAUUAAAGUUGUUGCAGUUAAAACGCUCGUAGUCGGAUUUCGGGGCGGGACGACCGGUCUGCCGAUGGGUAUGCACUGGUCGGCGCGUCCUUCCUUCCGGAGACCGUGCCUACUCUUAACUGAGCGGGGACGGGAGACGGAUCGUUUACUUUGAAAAAAUCAGAGUGUUUCAAGCAGGCAACUCGCUUUGCAUGGAUUAGCAUGGGAUAAUGAAAUAGGACUUUGGUGCUAUUUUGUUGGUUUCGAACACCGAAGUAAUGAUUAAUAGGGACAGUCAGGGGCACUCGUAUUCCGCCGAGAGAGGUGAAAUUCUCAGACCAGCGGAAGACGAACCACUGCGAAAGCAUUUGCCAGGGAUGUUUUCACUG
This 383-nucleotide ribosomal RNA is filed under the name Prymnesiales sp. Its description in RNAcentral is "SSU rRNA". It matches the Rfam family "Eukaryotic small subunit ribosomal RNA", at positions 587 to 975 of the family's 1831-position model. Lineage: Eukaryota; Haptophyta; Prymnesiales. The record is from RNAcentral.